CCGAGUUAUACAACUCAUCAACCCUGUGAACAUACCUAUAACGUUGCCUCGGCGGGAACAGACGGCCCCGUAACACGGGCCGCCCCCGCCAGAGGACCCCCCUAACUCUGUUUCUAUAAUGUUUCUUCUGAGUAAACAAGCAAAUAAAUUAA
Molecule: unclassified non-coding RNA, 152 nt
Filed under: soil metagenome
Description: partial internal transcribed spacer 1
Source: RNAcentral